UGACUGAUGUGAGGUGGAAUCUUAGAGU
Molecule: non-coding RNA, 28 nt
Filed under: Rattus norvegicus (Norway rat)
Lineage: Eukaryota; Metazoa; Chordata; Mammalia; Rodentia; Muridae
Source: RNAcentral